GAAGGGAUGGCUCAGUGAUGGAGCAUUCGACUGCUGAUCGAGUGGUCCCGGUUCAAAUCCGGAUUUUUUCU
RNAcentral lists this transfer RNA (71 nucleotides) under Trichonephila inaurata madagascariensis. It matches the Rfam family "tRNA". Rfam says of the family: Transfer RNA (tRNA) molecules are approximately 80 nucleotides in length. Their secondary structure includes four short double-helical elements and three loops (D, anti-codon, and T loops). The record is from Rfam by way of RNAcentral. Lineage: Eukaryota; Metazoa; Arthropoda; Arachnida; Araneae; Nephilidae.